UAGUCAUUACCAAGGCUUUUAGGAUGCAAUUUCUGAUUUGCUGCGGAGGUGACCGUAAAAAAAAUUCCCCGCUAGGUUUUCUUUUUGCUACCUUGCCAGCGUUCAGCUUAUUGGGAACAUUC
This 122-nucleotide small nucleolar RNA is filed under the name Dasypus novemcinctus (nine-banded armadillo). Its description in RNAcentral is "Small nucleolar RNA SNORA32 (ENSDNOG00000043412.1)". It matches the Rfam family "Small nucleolar RNA SNORA32". From Rfam's summary of the family: ACA32 is a member of the H/ACA class of snoRNA that guide the sites of modification of uridines to pseudouridines. The record is from RNAcentral. Lineage: Eukaryota; Metazoa; Chordata; Mammalia; Cingulata; Dasypodidae.